AGGGGAGGGCAGGAGAGCGGAGCAGAGGAGGGUGGGGGGUGGAAGAGUAUGCAGAAAAGUGGCAGUGGUCUUUUCACUGAGCGUUUGUGUCUGGAGUGUUCACUAGCUUCUACCACACUCUCUCUCUCUCUCUCUCUCUCUCGCUCUUUUUGCUCAGGGAAGAGGUUUAAACUGGAUUUAACUGAAUGAGGAAAGAAAGUAAAGUGAAAUAGAGGAGCAGAGCAGAACGUGUGUUGUACAUGUUUUUCAGAUAUCUCUGCAUGAAUAUAAAGAACGGUCCCCACACGGAACGGACGGCUGAAGUUGUGGAGUAGUGGAUGAACCUACAAAUUCAACAUGGAAUUGUGUAUUUCCCACAUAAGAGUAAUCAUAUCAGGAUUCAGCACAUCUGUGCAUUAAGCAAGAAAGUGAAAACAUGACUCAUCAGUCUCCUGGCACCCUCUUAGGGCCCAUCUUUGCCAUGGGAUAGCUGCCCAUGGAUGUGCCCAAUCAAAUAAACCUUAAUCUCUAAAGGCCUCCAGGCCAAACAGGCCGAUCCGGCUCCAUCCAGUCCUAUACAGGCAAGCCACAAGUCUGCCUGGGCCUUGCUUGCGAAGUCAUGCCCACUGCGCCCUCCCUGCAGCGGGUACGGGACUGAGGGGAAAUGUCCUCCUCCCUCCCUUCUUUCUCUCACCCAGGCCUGUUCGAGAUAGCCAAUAGUAUAACCAACUCGGACAAAGUUAAAGUGGUUCGAGACAAGCUUUCAUCCAAUCAGAGCACACUGCAGUAGAGCAAGCAGGUGGGUGGGGGGUGGAAAGGAGAGAGACAAGGGGAAAGACAAAGGAAACGGAAGAUGGAGCGAUUGACUUGGCACAAGGGAGAAGAAUAGAAAUCGAGAUAGAUGGAGGAGAAAAGAACAUGUUGUUUGUCAGAGAGGAAGCAACGAGUAUCGACUGUUGCUGCACUUAUUGAUCGUUCUCAAAUGCUGUUUAUCCAGCACAGUCACCGAGACAUGUAUCUUCACGUGUGCACACACCCAGACGCUGUGUGAAUUUUGUAACAUUUGUGCAAUUGUUGUAACAACCGUAACUGCCUGUGUUCUUUGAAUAGUAACACCCACAUUGUGAAUUCUGGACCUCAGGGCAGGAGACAGACACACUCCAUGCGUCUUCCUGCCAAGAUUCGCCAAGUUCACUCACCAGUGAGAAAUUGGUUAGUGUAGCAGACUGACUCCUCCGCCUCAUAUCGCUCAUCCUUUUCCAGCCAUCAAUAGACGGAUGACCCAGGCGGACCAGAGUUGAUGCAGGAAUGGGCAGAGAGCAGAGCUCCCACACACACUGAGAGUCUAUCUAUCCUUGUCCGUUUCAAUAGAUGAAGGGAAGAGAGGUGAUUGAAUGAGUUCAGCUGCAUUGCUUUGCAUUCUGCUUCAGGACUGCAGAAUCCUUCUGUCUGUUCAUCUCUCCAUCUUUUCAUCUUCUGUCUUGCUUCCAUUUAUUGACCGCGGUUUGUCCUCUCUGAUACCACACACACACACA
This is a long non-coding RNA of Rhinichthys klamathensis goyatoka, 1514 nucleotides long. RefSeq lists it as uncharacterized. The transcript is spliced from 3 exons. The record is from RefSeq and is a predicted model, not a curated record. NCBI's taxonomy places the organism in Eukaryota, Metazoa, Chordata, Actinopteri, Cypriniformes, Leuciscidae.